This is a non-coding RNA of Schistosoma rodhaini, 46 nucleotides long. Lineage: Eukaryota; Metazoa; Platyhelminthes; Trematoda; Strigeidida; Schistosomatidae. The record is from Rfam.
GCACUACUGAGGAGACCCAUAAUAGGACGAAACGGCCGUCCAGUGC